CCUAGGGGUGGCAGCAGUGGGGAAUAUUGCACAAUGGGGGAAACCCUGAUGCAGCGACGCCGCGUGAGUGAAGAAGUAUUUCGGUAUGUAAAGCUCUAUCAGCAGGGAAGAAAAUGACGGUACCUGACUAAGAAGCCCCGGCUAACUACGUGCCAGCAGCCGCGGUAAUACGUAGGGGGCAAGCGUUAUCCGGAUUUACUGGGUGUAAAGGGAGCGUAGACGGCAGCGCAAGUCUGGAGUGAAAUCCCAUGGCUUAACCAUGGAACUGCUUUGGAAACUGUGCAGCUGGAGUGCAGGAGAGGUAAGCGGAAUUCCUAGUGUAGCGGUGAAAUGCGUAGAUAUUAGGAGGAACCCCGAUUGCGAAGGCAGCCUGCCGCAGCGUUACUGACGCUGAAGCUCGAAAGCGCGGGUAUCGAACAGGAUUAGAUACCCGAGUAGUC
RNAcentral lists this ribosomal RNA (440 nucleotides) under uncultured bacterium. RNAcentral describes it as "partial 16S ribosomal RNA". It matches the Rfam family "Bacterial small subunit ribosomal RNA", at positions 338 to 795 of the family's 1533-position model. The record is from RNAcentral.